RNAcentral lists this ribosomal RNA (469 nucleotides) under uncultured bacterium. RNAcentral's name for it is "partial 16S ribosomal RNA". It matches the Rfam family "Bacterial small subunit ribosomal RNA", at positions 28 to 507 of the family's 1533-position model. The record is from RNAcentral.
AACGAACGUUGGCGGCGUGGAUUAGGCAUGCAAGUCGAACGCGAAUCCCUGGGCAACUGGGGAGGAGAGUGGCGAAAGGGGCAGUAAGGCGUGGGGAACCUACCCUCCGGGCCGGGAUAGCUUCGGGAAACUGAAGGUAAUACCGGGCGACGCAGCGAGAUCGCAUGGUCUUGCUGCCAAAGGUCCGCCGCCGGGGGAGGGGCUCACGUGGUAUUAGCUAGACGGCGGGGUAACGGCCCACCGUGGCAAAGAUGCCUAGCAGGUGUGAGAGCACGACCUGCGCCACUGGCACUGAGACACUGGCCAGACACCUAUGGGUGGCUGCAGUCGAGGAUCUUCGGCAAUGGGCGCAAGCCUGACAGGGCGACGCCGCGUGUGCGAUGAAGGCCUUCGGGUUGUAAAGCACUGUCGAGGGGGAGGAAGCCGCAAGGUGGCCCUAUCCCUGGAGGAAGCACGGGCUAAGUUCGUG